Mus musculus (house mouse) is the source of this 1612-nucleotide long non-coding RNA. RefSeq annotates it as predicted gene, 40437. The transcript has 4 exons. The record is from RefSeq and is a predicted model, not a curated record. Lineage: Eukaryota; Metazoa; Chordata; Mammalia; Rodentia; Muridae.
CCUUUGGAUUUGAGGAAAAGAAUCUGACUGUGUCUGUGUCUGUGUUGUCUUGAUGCUGGGCUACCCUCCCUGGCACAGGAAUUCUCAAGCUUCCUGUGAGUCUUGCUUUCCUGGGCCUCACCCAGUCAGGGCUCCCAGACUCUGAAGAUCAAGGCUCCAGCGGGAUACCAGCUCCCUCUUUCAGAUGAUGCAGUAGCAGUCCCCCACCCUUGCCCCAAAACCCUGUGUGGGAAAGUAAAUAGUCGGGUUUGGGAUGUAAUGGUUUUCUUCUGUUUUGUGUUACGGGAUCUGAUGCACACACACACACAAUCUGCCCAGAACCUCAAAUAAUUACAGUGAGACGACUCUGCUUCCUUCUCUUGGCCACAGCAGACAGGCGGGAGCCCAGACAGACACUGCAGAGGGAGAGGGCGCAGUGACUGACGGAUGGGAAAGGCGGGGACCAGGAAUUAGGGACUGUAAGAGAACCACAAGCUCAGUGUCACGGCGUCGUGGCACUGGGCGGGAGUGGGGGAAAGGCCCUGCCUAGAGGGCCAGGGACUAGCCUCAUUUAAAAAUCACUUAAUAGAAAGACCUGCCAGAAACGAUUAAGUGAGGGGAAAGGCAAGCCCAAGGCAACUCACGCACUAGGCUAUCAUUUCUGUCAUGAAGGAGCCGAACAGCCCACAUUUGCUGUGUGGCCACCAACAGCACUCGUCUCUGAGGAGGGAAUGGUGUGGCGAGGAGGGAGCUGUUUUGGCUUUGUCGGAAAAUAAGAUAGCAAAUUCAACAGACUAGUAAAAACGAAGCAGCUUUUAAUAUACAGUUCUGCAGAAAGAGACCCCAGUGUGGAGAAAAGGCCAGCGUGGCUUGCAGAUUUGGAGGAGGACUCUUUUAGAAUGAAUACUCUCAUCACUCCCGGUCUCUCUUUCCGUGGGUCAAGCCUUGCUCCCUUCUCCAAAUCCUCUUUUCAUUGGCUUAGUACACAGAGACUCAUCCAAUGAACAAAUUGGGGCUUGGGACUGCCCCCCUUUUCUGAUAAAGCUCCAAGCAGAUGUUGCCCGAUGGUGCCAGAUUGACAACUGGGGGAACUGAUAGAGGAAGGUUUAUAUGGCACUCUUGGUACCACUGUCACUGAAGCCACUGCACUCUCAGUUCACCAGUGGAGUCCACCGUGGCAGGGAAGUGUGGCGGCAGGAGCUGGAAGCAGCAGCUCACAGGACACCCACAAUCAGGAAGCAGGAAUGGAACCAGCCACAUGUCUGAAAGCAACACCUGGGCAGUUGGCUGCAGCUUUGACGUCGAGGCGGAAGCCUGUUCUCCUAAAGGAUCUCACGAUUCCAUUCUUCUUCUUCCUACUGCACGGGCACAAAGCCUGCCCCUCAUCCUUCGGGUGACCCACACUCCUUCCCUCUCUUAGCUCUCCACUGUAGGCAAUGUUUCAAAGCCAAAGGACAUUAGAAAAAGCUUCCGGCAAAAGAAGGCCUUAGGAGAUUCUCUCUCUUGGAAACAAAUAGAAAAAUCUUGCUUCUGUCUAUCCUUGGCAGAGACUCUGGGCUGAGACUUGUGGUUGUAGUACUGGCCCUUGGGGGGAAUAUGGCCAUUUCAUAGUAACAGAAAAUGCAGCUCAAUG